Molecule: ribosomal RNA, 774 nt
Filed under: uncultured Neocallimastigales
Lineage: Eukaryota; Fungi; Neocallimastigomycota; Neocallimastigomycetes; Neocallimastigales
Description: partial large subunit ribosomal RNA
Rfam family: Eukaryotic large subunit ribosomal RNA
Source: RNAcentral
AGAGAGAGACAUGCGCGCAUAUCAAUAAGCGGAGGAAAAGAAACUAACAAGGAUUCCCCUAGUAACGGCGAGUGAAGCGGGAAGAGCUCAAAUUUGAAAUCUUAAAGGGUUUCCCUUUACGAAUUGUAGUUUAAAGAAGUGUUUUCUGUUGAGGUUUUGGUAAAAGUUCUUUGGAAUAGGACAUCAUAGAGGGUGAGAAUCCCGUAUUUGACCUUUACUUUCAACUUUGUGAUACACUUUCAAAGAGUCGGAUUGUUUGGGAAUGCAGUCCAAAAUGGGUGGUAAAUUUCAUCUAAAGCUAAAUAUUGGCGAGAGACCGAUAGCGAACAAGUAUCGUGAGGGAAAGAUGAAAAGAACUUUGAAAAGAGAGUUAAACAGUACGUGAAAUUGUCAAAAGGGAAGCGUUUGACACCAGUGUUGUUUUUCUGAAAAUCAAUUAAAGAACUGUUUAUGCUAAGUUGUUUAGACUUUAUCAGCUAACUGUUUAGUUUUGAGCUUUUCUUUAAUGCACUUUUCAGUUAACAAGUCAACAUCAAUUUCUUUUGCUGUAAAAAAGCUUGAGGAAGGUGGCUUGAGAUUCGUCUUAAGUGUUUAUAGCCUCUUGCCUAUGCAGUCGGAGAGAUUGAGGUCUGCAGCGUAGAUCCUUCGGGGCUAAAUGCAUUUGUGCUAAGUUAUAGCAUUUUAUAGACAACUUGUUGACUAUGAUUUGUCUUGUAGCUUACUCGCUUAUGCUAUUUUACCUACGCUUAGGAUGUUGACGCAUGAGAUAUACGC